This 497-nucleotide ribosomal RNA is filed under the name uncultured bacterium. RNAcentral's name for it is "partial 16S ribosomal RNA". It matches the Rfam family "Bacterial small subunit ribosomal RNA", at positions 28 to 507 of the family's 1533-position model. The record is from RNAcentral.
GACGAACGCUGGCGGCGUGCCUAAUACAUGCAAGUUGAGCGCUGAAGGUUGGUACUUGUACCAACUGGAUGAGCAGCGAACGGGUGAGUAACGCGUGGGGAAUCUGCCCUUGAGCGGGGGACAACAUUUGGAGACGAAUGCUAAUACCGCAUAAAAACUUUAAACACAAGUUUUAAGUUUGAAAGAUGCAAUUGCAUCACUCAAAGAUGAUCCCGCGUUGUAUUAGCUAGUUGGUGAGGUAAAGACUCACCAAGGCGAUGAUACAUAGCCGAACUGAGAGGGUGAUCGGCCACAUUGGGACUGAGGCACGGCCCAAACUCCUACGGGAGGCAGCAGUAGGGAAUCUUCGGCAAUGGACGAAAGUCUGACCGAGCAACGCCGCGUGAGUGAAGAAGGUUUUCGGAUCGUAAAACUCUGUUGGUAGAGAAGAACGUUGGUGAGAGUGGAAAGCUCAUCAAGUGACGGUAACUACCCAGAAAGGGACGGCUAACUACGUG